This 374-nucleotide unclassified non-coding RNA is filed under the name soil metagenome. Its description in RNAcentral is "partial contains internal transcribed spacer 2 and large subunit ribosomal RNA". The stretch from base 1 to 120 matches the Rfam family "5.8S ribosomal RNA", at positions 35 to 154 of the family's 154-position model. The record is from RNAcentral.
GAUGAAGAACGUAGCGAAAUGCGAUAAUUAAUGUGAAUUGCAGAAUUCCGUGAAUCAUCGAGUCUUUGAACGCACAUUGCGCCUCAUGGCAUUCCGUGAGGCAUGCCCAUCUCAGCGUUAGAAAAUAUUCUCAAAUUUUAGUUUUGUGCUAAAAUUUGGAUCAUGUCAAGGAAGCUAUUACUAUUAUUGUGAUCGCUCUUUGGAAAUUGAUAGGUAUUUGAGUUGCUACUCAUAGAACGUGAUGAAUCUUUCUUCGUUCUAUUGUAAUUCACUCUGGUAGUCCUAAAAAUUGUAUGCCUGUGGCAUAUCUUGUAAUUUGACCUGAGAUUGGGUAGGGAUACCCGCUGAACUUAAGCAUAUCAAUAAGCGGAGGA